This 7170-nucleotide long non-coding RNA is filed under the name Theobroma cacao (cacao). RNAcentral describes it as "long non-coding RNA (TCAC_LNC001458)". The record is from RNAcentral. Lineage: Eukaryota; Viridiplantae; Streptophyta; Magnoliopsida; Malvales; Malvaceae.
CCGUGUCAUUCUUUCGGUCUCUUUGUUGUUUCCAUGGAUGAAUUUGUAAGGAGGUCCUUUGAUUCCUUGCAAAUUCAUUGCAUACUGUAUCCGAAGUGGUGUCCACCAAUACUUGUGUAGGAUUUUGAUCAGAGCCAUGACCAGAUACAGGCACAGAGAGCCUGUAAGAAGGGCUGAUAGAUUUGCUGCAAUGGAAGUCAUUUGUAGAACCUGGCAAGGAAAACAGAUUUUCUGAUAAGUUCAUUCCCGAGAUAUAUCAGAUUUAUUACAUCUAGAAGGCGGUCACUUUUGGCCUCAUCUAGAAUUAUGGUCUAAUCAAUAGGUAUAGUCAAAUUCAACCGCAUGAGCAAUAAUUGCAGCCUGUUCAACGUUUCACGUUCACGUGGACAUAACUCAACGAAUAGGAGCAGUGAAAAUUAGUACAAUUUGCAAUAAAGAAAAGGGAAAAAACAAAAGUCAAAGCACGUUAUGUCUGAUGCAGAACAGAACUCUGUCCCGACAGAAAAAUAGUAGUAACCUAACCCAUUGACAAACACAACAAAUAAGUAAAGAUACAACAAAUAAGUAAAGAUUGCGCAUUGGCUUUCAAGAGUUUUACUUCUCCUAGUUGUCUUGUUGAACCUGAGAAGAUCAAUGUUCAAACUAAGGUUAAUUAGCGUUGGGGCUGGGCUUUCACCUCGAAAUCUUCGCCUAGUGCCUUAGACCCAACUUGAAAGUGUCAUCGAGUCUAAGUUUUGAUUCUAAUCAGGUACAAUGUCUAUAUAAGAAGUGUCCAAUAUAUAUGUCGAGGCUGAGAUGGCGAUGGCUUUCAUUUCUUGUGAGAAGCUUCUAUACCACUAGGUAGAACAUGUCAUAAAUUUACAUUAGUUACAAUCUAAACUACCUUUGCCAACGUCACAUCUUGCAAGUUACAGCUAGGAAGGACAAAGUUAUCAUAGUGCUGAUUCCUUGUAUAUGUAAUUUCUUUAUUAAAGUUAUUGAUCCUUGUUAAAAUCAAUCUGAGUUAUGUUUUUUUGGGUUACUUAACUUGAUAAGAGUACAAAAUCAAGUAUGUCAAAAUUCUAGGAUUUGCCGAAGGGUAAGAAAACAGAAAGAAUGACACAAUUGAAUGGUGUAUAUAUCGAGGUGUGAUAAAAAGAAUUCGGAUUCAAAAAUUUAUUUGAAAAAAAUUUGAAUUAUAAUUCACUUAAAUUCGAAUCGGUAAAAAGUUAAAAAAUUUAAACUUCAAAUGAUUUUAAUUUCAAAGUUUAAUUUAAAGUAGUAAUAAUUUAAAUUUAACAUUAAAAAUAACAAAUUUUAUCAAUAUUUAUUUUAAUUUAAUAUAUAUCCGAAUUUAAAUUGAUCUGAAUUCAAAACUAUUCAAACUCGUUGUCACCUGAACUCGAAAUGACUUGAUUUGACACUAGUCGUUUGCCGACUCUAAAAAAUAUUCGCAUACAAAUUAGGAGGCAGGCCAGUAGCAUACUGUCUUGCUGCUGUGAUGUGGUUGCUGAUGAUUGCUUGGCGGACAAGGGACAGGUGAGGGAAUUUCCAAGGCCAUAUUACUGUUUACUUCUAAAAGAUAUUCACAAACAAAUCCAUGCGCAGACAGAGUUGAAACAUUUUUGUUUGGCAUAUUAUACUAAUGAUUGAAAUGCUAUCAGUAUAUUGCCUGGAAUUACAUAUUAAAUGUAGCUGAUUUUGUUCAUACUCCCUAUUGAGAACGGGUAAGAUACCUUAUAAUUUCGAAGUAUCCGAACCCUAAUCCUAUAAAAAAUUAAUUACCUUAACUUUAUUAAAUACCCAAAUAAUUUUAAAAUUAUUACCCUAACCCUAUUACAUUUUUACUAUUUUAUAAUUAUUCUAACCCGUUUAAAAAUCCGAUCAGAUUAAAAAAAUUAUUAAAAUCUUCUUAUCCAAUUACUUAAACCAGUAUACAUAUAUAAUAAUAUUUCUCUACGUAUUUCAUAAAAUUAACUACUAAUUAAAUUAAUAAAAAUAAAAUAAUAAAAUUUAAAUUUAAAUAAUCAAAAAUAAAGAUCUUAAAUAUAAACUUAAAUAAUUAAAAAUAAAUAUCCAUACAACGAUAUAAACUUAUAUAAUUAUACCUAAAUAUCCAAAUAAUAACAUAAGCUUAAAUAACUAAAUACAAAUAUCCAAACAAAUAACAUAAACUUAAAUAACAAAAAAUAUAAUUUUUAUAAUGUUAACACAAAAUAAAAAAUAAAUAUAUUUAAAUUUAAAGUAUAUAUACUAAAAGUAUUAUAGUGUAUAUACAAAAUAAUAAUUAUAUUCUUUAUAAAUGACCAAAUGUAUAUUUAAAGUAUAGAUAUUAAAAGACAUUACAAUUUAAUUAAUAAUCAUAAUUUUAUUAAUUAUAUGAAUUNNNNNNNNNNNNNNNNNNNNNNNNNNNNNNNNNNNNNNNNNNNNNNNNNNNNNNNNNNNNNNNNNNNNNNNNNNNNNNNNNNNNNNNNNNNNNNNNNNNNNNNNNNNNNNNNNNNNNNNNNNNNNNNNNNNNNNNNNNNNNNNNNNNNNNNNNNNNNNNNNNNNNNNNNNNNNNNNNNNNNNNNNNNNNNNNNNNNNNNNNNNNNNNNNNNNNNNNNNNNNNNNNNNNNNNNNNNNNNNNNNNNNNNNNNNNNNNNNNNNNNNNNNNNNNNNNNNNNNNNNNNNNNNNNNNNNNGUAUUUUUGGUUUUGAUGAAAAAAAUCUUAUUAUAAUAAAGAGUUUAUUUUUGUAAUUAUAUAUUACAAAAAUUAAUAUUUUAAAAUUAAAAAUUAACCAAAGUUAUUAAUAUUUUACUCAUAGUAAUAUAUAAAUUAUAAAUAAAAUAUUAAUAUUUUAAAAUUUCAAUAAUUAAAUUAUGAAUAAAAUACAAUUAUUUAAAAAUGUUACUAUUUAGAUUAUAAUUAUUUUAAAAAUUUAUAAAUUAUUAAUAUUUUAAAAAUUUAUAAAUUAUUAAUAUUUAAAAAAUAAAAUAAAUAAUAAAUAAUCGUAUAUUAUAAUAAAUGGAAUUAUUGUCUUUUUAUCAUCUAUUCCUUCAUUAUUUCAAAAUUAUUUUUACCAACAAAACAUUGUAAUAAAUCAUAAUAAUAAUUCCAACAUUAUUCUAUUCCAUCAACCAAACUAUAUAAUAACAUUUUCAUUCUAUUCCUAUCCUAUUCUAUUCCCACAAAAUAUAUAUUUUGUUCCAUUUCAUUUUAUUCCGUGAACCAAAUGUGCCCUUAAUAUUUAGUAAGCGGAAAAGAAUGUCAAUGAAUACCUAUUGGCACUGCCAUUCAAAAAACAAUACGAAUUGGCACUAGCAAAAACUAUUAUUUUUUAAAUGUAAUUAAUGCAUCAUUAAUUAUUCCUAGAAAAAGAAUCAUCUUAAUUUGUGAGUUGCAUUAACUAAGAGCUUGUUUGGCUUGACUUUUUUUCUAACUUAAAAGCUAUUAUGAAGCUCUUAUGAAAAAUAAUAACUUUUAAAAUUAUUCUAAAAUUGUUUGGUAAAUUUUUUUAUAAGUUUUUUUUUAUAAGUUAUAAUUUUAGUUAAAAUUAUCAUAAAAAAUAUUUCUUUUUUUUUGAGAGGGUAAUAUUGUAAUUAUUUUUAACAAAUGAGGAUAUUUUUAAAACAAAAAUAAAAAUUUUCUUGUAUUUUUAAAAGAAGAGGAGAAAAAGCUCAUCCUCGGAGCUUUUUUUUAAGCUCUUUUUUUUUUAAAUUUUGUUUUUAAAAAAAAAAUUACUUUUUUUAAGAGCUUAUCAAAAGAUUAUGUUUGACUUAACUUUUGCUUUUAAGAAGUAGAUAAACUGAAAAAAAGUUAAGCCAAACAUACACUAAGGCUAUGGCUUUUGUCAGCUCAUGAAGGAGUCAUAGCUGCAUUGGCUGUAUCACCUGUGAAAAGGGCUGGUUUCUUCUGCCAGUCAUGAUCACAAGUUUGUCAAAUUGUGGAAGUGAUACGAUUGCUAGCAGAAUUCCCAAGUUUUAAUCAGCAACGAUUGUUGGUUUGUAGCUGUUCAGGUUGCUCAAAGGUGUCCAUUUUGUGGUUUGUCCCAAUGUAACUAACCUUGUCUGUUGUAUGCAUGCUAUGCAACCUUGUGUCGUUAAUGGUUAACUUGCACAUUCUUGCUUAAAUUCAUCAACAUUUUCUACAAAAAAAAAAAAUAAAGAAUAAUAAUACUGAAUUGUGACACUACACUUUAAUUGUAUUGAAUUUUGUAAUCAUACUUUUUAUUUCCAUUAGACUCCAUAAAUGAAAUAUUUCAGUAUAACAUUCUUUAAUCUUUAUUUUUCAUUCGAAAAUAACUAAAACAAAACUAGUUAAAAUAAAAUAACAGUGACAAAAUUUAAUGCAAUUGAAACACAAUUGCAAGAUUCAAAUUUGGUAUCUAUCUUAAGAUUUUUAUUCACCAUGCCAUGAGGUUAUUUGGUUCAUGAUAUUCACAAAAUGGCUACAGAAAUUUAGAAGCUGAGAAGCCUUAGAUUGUUUACUAGGAGCAGAGCUAGGAUAUAUCAGGGUUCACCUAGUCCUUGUACUGUAGAUAAAUAGAAUUUUCAAUAUAAAUCAAUAGUAUGCCAUAAUUUAGUAUGAUUUCUAUCAUUUCAUUUAAAUUUUUCCGGGUAGAUUUAUAACUAACGUCAAUCUUUACCAAUAAUGGAGCCAAGGUCUAUGCUCAAUCUGGGCAAAGUCAUUUCUCCUUCUGCAAGUCUCUCUGGUUUGAAAACAUGAACAUCUUCAACCCCAUAUCUCAGGGUCAUGGUGAAGUGCUGGAGUUGUAAUGAACAAUUCAGUAUUUUCUUCUUGGAGAAUUUUGUUACAGAAAAAAAAUAUGCCUGGACAAUCAUACUGAUCUCUGAUCAAGAUCUACAACAAUAUCGGAAUAUAAGAGGAAAUAGUACUCAGAGGAGCACCAUCUUCAUACUUGAUUGCUAAAACAUUUUGUUCCAAUACCAUCAUUUACUAUUACAUGGAUAGAAACAAGGACAAAUUAAUCAACAUCACUGACUGGGGUGAGUUACUGGCUGCGGCCUCUGUAAGCAACUGAUCUACAAGGCAUUAUUCCAUUGACAACUCUAGGCUUCAUUCUACAGAGAAUGAAGUAUUACCUGAAUUCCAUGUUGUGGCUGAAGCAAAAGAAGGGUAAAUGGUGAGUGGCUGUAGGUUGGGGAAAGGGAAAUGUUGUAUCGCUGUAGAAUCAUGGAAAGAGCAAUCUUUGUUUCUGUCAUUGCAAAGCUCAUACCGACACAAGAUCGAGGUCCCAAUCCAAAGGGAACAUAUGCAGCUGCAUUAUGUUUGGUGGCAUUGGCGAUCCCUUCUGCGAAUCUCUCAGGUUUGAAGAGAUUGACAUCAUCUCCCCAUAACUGAGGGUCAUGGUGAAGUGCCAUGAUUGGGACACCCAAAUGUAAAUCAGCUGGCAGGAUGAGCUUUCCCAAUUGAACUUCAUUUUCAACUUUUCUUGCCAUGCCACUUACAGGAGGAUAUAAUCUUAAAGUUUCAUUAAUGAUCAUAGUCAUCUGUAUGCAGCAGAAGAGGAAUAAACAUAUCAAAUCUAUUCUGAUUUUCAAAAAUUCAAUCUACUAAAUGUUCAAUGAUGUGUCCAAGCAAAAUGAUUAGAUUUACUUACAGUCUUUAGUCUGCCAAUGCCUUCAGAAUGUGGAUUUUGGUUACCAAAGACCUUAAUCACCUCUCUUCUUGCUUUCUCCUGCCAAUCUGGAUUGAUUGCUAAAAGCAAGACUGUCCAUGCAAGUGCAGAAUUAGUUGUUUCUUGUCCAGCAAAGUAAAAUGUCUUGCAUUCAUCUACCAAAUCUUGUACUGAUAGCCUGUUCUUCUUGUCUGCAUCAUGGUAAGCACUUACAAGUAAUCCAAGAAAAUCAGUGCCAAAGCUGUUGGCUUCUCCAUUCACUACUUUCUCUUCUCGUUUCUUAACUAUCUCCAUCACAGAAUUGUGUAUUCCUUUUACAAGUUUGUCUGAUUCAAUUUCAUCAGCAGUUUUACGGAAAUUACUGCAAAAGCAAAACAAAUUUCCACCAACAUAUGAAGGCAAAAUAAAACAAAAAUCCACCUAGCUAUACAAGAGUAGUUUAACCAUUUGCGCAAAAGCUGCAUAAUAUGACUUCUAGUUAGUCUCCUUUCUCAUUAAAUCAGAAAUAACCUGAAGAGGAACUUACCUAAUGACAGGAAACUUAGAUUUAAACAUGUUUCUGUUUGUCAAGACAGACAACUUCAACAACAUGUCAAAAAUCUUUUUCCCAUCUAAGUAACUGCUACCAAAAGCUGUCCUUGAUAUGACUUCUGAAGUCAACAACCUAAAUUCUUCAAACACCUCAAUUUCUUUGCCUUCAAGUUGCUUCCACUUUUCCAGCAUCGUCUCUACACUAGCAAUCAGUGCUGGUGUCAUGCUCUGCCAAAACCAUCACCACUCUUAUGAGUAACUUAUACCUUGCCAGGAUUUGGUUCUUCUCUAAUGCAUAAAAUUCACAAAACAUGAUCUGACUAUGAAGUAUCUUACAUCAACACAUCUAUGACAAAAAUAAUUAUAGCAUUUGAUCAGAAGUUUACUUUUAAGCUCUCCCCAUGAAAAGCAUAAUUGGCCAACUUCCUUUGCCUUGCCCAUUUCUGACCUUCGGAUGUCACAAGCCCAUCCCCUAGUAUCUUAAUAGCGAACUCGUCUUCAUUCCUCUUCCUUUCUCUACUUGUCCUUUUUGGAAAAGCUCUUUCACUACUCUUCAACACCUCUUUGACAAGCUCAGGCUCUGUGAUAAUCAGUUGAGCUUUAGUACCUGCCCAAGAAAGAUAGUUUUUCCCUAAUUCCACGGAAACAAAAGAAGGUUAAAUUGUUUCUUAAAAAAGGGUCUUAAAGCAAAAAAAAAAAAAAAGAAAAAAAAGUUGGGGGGGGGUGGGGUGUGGGGGGAGAGAAUUUAAUCUUACCAUAUGAGUUGAUCCAUGAAUAAACUUGAGGAUGGACUCUGGGAAAUAUAUCAUGUGAUAAACUAGUCAUAGGCUUGCUUAAUGCUUCCUGUUUCAUUUUUAUGGUCUCUUUGUUGUUUCCAUGGAUGAAUUUGUAAGGAGGUCCUUUGAUUCCUUGCAAAUUCAUUGCAUACUGUAUCCGAAGUGGUGUCCACCAAUACUUGUGUAGGAUUUUGAUCAGAGCUAUGACCAGAUACAGGCACAGAGAGCCUGUAAGAAGGGCUGAUAGAUUUGCUGCCAUGGAAGAC